RNAcentral lists this ribosomal RNA (479 nucleotides) under uncultured bacterium. RNAcentral describes it as "SSU rRNA". It matches the Rfam family "Bacterial small subunit ribosomal RNA", at positions 26 to 518 of the family's 1533-position model. The record is from RNAcentral.
AGGACGAACGCUGGCGGCGUGCUUAACACAUGCAAGUCGAGCGAGGCUCCUCCUUCGGGAGGAAGCCCUAGCGGCGAACGGGUGAGUAACACGUGGGCAACCUGCCCCUAGCACUGGGAUAACCCCGGGAAACCGGGGCUAAUACCGGAUACGACUUCGGAAGGCAUCUUCUGAAGUGGAAAAGGUUACUGGCUAGGGAUGGGCCCGCGGCCUAUCAACUUGUUGGUGGGGUAAUGGCCCACCAAGGCGACGACGGGUAGCCGGCCUGAGAGGGCGACCGGCCACACUGGGACUGAGACACGGCCCAGACUCCUACGGGAGGCAGCAGUGGGGAAUAUUGCACAAUGGGCGAAAGCCUGAUGCAGCGACGCCGCGUGAGGGAUGACGGCCUUCGGGUUGUAAACCUCUUUCAGCAGGGACGAAGCGAAAGUGACGGUACCUGCAGAAGAAGCACCGGCCAACUACGCGCCAGCAGCCGC